AUGGAUGGGAGCUUGCUCCCUGAAGUUAGCGGCGGACGGGUGAGUAACACGUGGGCAACCUGCCUGUAAGACUGGGAUAACUUCGGGAAACCGGAGCUAAUACCGGAUACGUUCUUUCCUCGCAUGAGGAAAGAUGGAAAGACGGUUUCGGCUGUCACUUACAGAUGGGCCCGCGGCGCAUUAGCUAGUUGGUGAGGUAAUGGCUCACCAAGGCCACGAUGCGUAGCCGACCUGAGAGGGUGAUCGGCCACACUGGGACUGAGACACGGCCCAGACUCCUACGGGAGGCAGCAGUAGGGAAUCUUCCGCAAUGGACGAAAGUCUGACGGAGCAACGCCGCGUGAGCGAAGAAGGCCUUCGGGUCGUAAAGCUCUGUUGUUAGGGAAGAACAAGUGCCAGAGUAACUGCUGGCACCUUGACGGUACCUAACCAGAAAGCCACGGCUAACUACGUGCCAGCAGCCGCGGUAAUACGUAGGUGGCAAGCGUUGUCCGGAAUUAUUGGGCGUAAAGCGCGCGCAGGUGGUUCCUUAAGUCUGAUGUGAAAGCCCACGGCUCAACCGUGGAGGGUCAUUGGAAACUGGGGGACUUGAGUGCAGAAGAGGAAAGUGGAAUUCCAAGUGUAGCGGUGAAAUGCGUAGAGAUUUGGAGGAACACCAGUGGCGAAGGCGACUUUCUGGUCUGUAACUGACACUGAGGCGCGAAAGCGUGGG
RNAcentral lists this ribosomal RNA (712 nucleotides) under Bacillus sp. (in: firmicutes). RNAcentral describes it as "bacterial SSU rRNA". It matches the Rfam family "Bacterial small subunit ribosomal RNA", at positions 69 to 765 of the family's 1533-position model. The record is from RNAcentral. Lineage: Bacteria; Bacillati; Bacillota; Bacilli; Caryophanales; Bacillaceae.